GUAGGUGGCAAGCGUUGUCCGGAAUUAUUGGGCGUAAAGCGCGCGCAGGCGGUUCUUUAAGUCUGAUGUGAAAGCCCACGGCUCAACCGUGGAGGGUCAUUGGAAACUGGAGAACUUGAGUACAGAAGAGGAAAGCGGAAUUCCACGUGUAGCGGUGAAAUGCGUAGAGAUGUGGAGGAACACCAGUGGCGAAGGCGGCUUUCUGGUCUGUAACUGACGCUGAGGCGCGAAAGCGUGGGGAGCAAACAGGAUUAGAUACCCUGGUAGUCCACGCCGUAAACGAUGAGUGCUAAGUGUUAGGGGGUUUCCGCCCCCCUUAGUGCUGCAGCUAACGCAUUAAGCACUCCGCCGUGGGAGUACCGGCCGCGAAGGCUAG
RNAcentral lists this ribosomal RNA (376 nucleotides) under uncultured organism. Its description in RNAcentral is "partial 16S ribosomal RNA". It matches the Rfam family "Bacterial small subunit ribosomal RNA", at positions 527 to 897 of the family's 1533-position model. The record is from RNAcentral.